GUGCCAGAAGCCUCGGUAAUACGAAAGGUGCAAGCGUUGUUCGGAUUUACUGGGCGUAAAGAGAUCGUAGGUGGUUUGUUAAGUCGGGUGUGAAAUCCCGGGGCUCAACCCCGGAACUGCAUUCGAUACUGGCAGGCUAGAGUUCGGGAGGGGGAAGCGGAAUUCCGUGUGUAGCAGUGAAAUGCGUAGAUAUACGGAGGAACACCUGAGGCGAAGNCGGCUUCCUGGACCGAUACUGACACUGAGGAUCGAAAGCGUGGGUAGCAAACAGGAUUAGAUACCCUGGUAGUCCACGCCCUAAACGAUGUCUACUAGCCGUAGCGNGUAUCGACCCCUGCUGUGGCGCAGCUAANGCGAUAAGUAGACCGCCUGGGGAGUACGGUCGCAAGAUUAAAACUCANAGGAAUUGACGG
RNAcentral lists this ribosomal RNA (413 nucleotides) under uncultured bacterium. RNAcentral's name for it is "bacterial SSU rRNA". It matches the Rfam family "Bacterial small subunit ribosomal RNA", at positions 505 to 916 of the family's 1533-position model. The record is from RNAcentral.